GUCUUUAAAAUUCCACUGACCUGUGCUCGCUUCGGCAGCACACAUACUAAGAUUAUCACAGCCCCUGUGCAAGGAUGACACGCAAGUUCGUGAAGUGUUCCAUAUUUAA
Molecule: non-coding RNA, 109 nt
Organism: Mus caroli (Ryukyu mouse)
Lineage: Eukaryota; Metazoa; Chordata; Mammalia; Rodentia; Muridae
Source: RefSeq, a predicted model, not a curated record